GCGCAGCCUACCAUGCAGUCGAGCGGAUGAGAGGAGCUUGCUCCUUAAUUCAGCGGCGGACGGGUGAGUAAUGCCUAGGAAUCUGCCUGGUAGUGGGGGACAACGUUUCGAAAGGAACGCUAAUACCGCAUACGUCCUACGGGAGAAAGCAGGGGACCUUCGGGCCUUGCGCUAUCAGAUGAGCCUAGGUCGGAUUAGCUAGUUGGUGAGGUAAUGGCUCACCAAGGCGACGAUCCGUAACUGGUCUGAGAGGAUGAUCAGUCACACUGGAACUGAGACACGGUCCAGACUCCUACGGGAGGCAGCAGUGGGGAAUAUUGGACAAUGGGCGAAAGCCUGAUCCAGCCAUGCCGCGUGUGUGAAGAAGGUCUUCGGAUUGUAAAGCACUUUAAGUUGGGAGGAAGGGCAGUAAAUUAAUACUUUGCUGUUUUGACGUUACCGACAGAAUAAGCACCGGCUAACUCUGUGCCAGCAGCCGCGGUAAUACAGAGGGUGCAAGCGUUAAUCGGAAUUACUGGGCGUAAAGCGCGCGUAGGUGGUUCGUUAAGUUGGAUGUGAAAUCCCCGGGCUCAACCUGGGAACUGCAUUCAAAACUGUCGAGCUAGAGUAUGGUAGAGGGUGGUGGAAUUUCCUGUGUAGCGGUGAAAUGCGUAGAUAUAGGAAGGAACACCAGUGGCGAAGGCGACCACCUGGACUGAUACUGACACUGAGGUGCGAA
Molecule: ribosomal RNA, 718 nt
Filed under: uncultured bacterium
Lineage: Bacteria
Description: bacterial SSU rRNA
Rfam family: Bacterial small subunit ribosomal RNA
Source: RNAcentral